CAAAGGGAAGCGAAGGGGUGACCUGGAGCGAAUCUCAAAAAUAACGUCUCAGUUCGGAUUGUAGUCUGCAACUCGACUACAUGAAGCUGGAAUCGCUAGUAAUCGCGAAUCAGCAUGUCGCGGUGAAUACGUUCCCGGGUCUUGUACACACCGCCCGUCACACCAUGGGAGUCGGAAACGCCCGAAGCCAGUGACCCAACCGAUAAAACGGAGGGAGCUGUCGAAGGUGGGGCCGGUAACUGGGGUGAAGUCGUAACAAGGUACC
This 265-nucleotide ribosomal RNA is filed under the name uncultured bacterium. RNAcentral's name for it is "partial 16S ribosomal RNA". It matches the Rfam family "Bacterial small subunit ribosomal RNA", at positions 1240 to 1500 of the family's 1533-position model. The record is from RNAcentral.